CUUCCUCGUUCUUCUUUUCGACCCUUAAUUGUGUUGUAUAAGGCUACCUUUUUUUACCUCUUUGAGCAAGGGAAUGCUGCCUUUCCCCUGACUCAAUGUGUGAAUUCCCUUUCCAACCAAUGAGUUGUGUUGUAAAUAGAUUUUAUUGGGCAAAACAGUCGGUAAUUUAGGGAAGUGAAUAUCUUGUAGCUGCUCUAAGUUUAUGUGUUUUGUGUUUGUUUUUCAAUGUGUUGUGAUUUUGCGUUCAGCCGGUGGCUUUCUUCAAUUUUCUAGGGCUAAUGCUUAUUGUGGUAUGCUACCUGUGUUUGCAGCUCUUUGUUAGCCUAAGCUUGGUUUGGUUUUCCCUCUGAGUUCUCCCUGCAAGGAGGGUGCUUGAGAUGUCAUGAGGUGGGUACCUCAGGGGUCAUAUAAACGAGAUGCUUUUGAUAACCACCUGACCACCAUUCCUGCUAGCUUGAACUGCUCCAAGAAUGCCUUCAUGGUUCUCCAGGUUACAAUCAAUAAGCACAAAGUCUGCUUCACUAUAGUUGGUUAACAGAAGAUUUUGAGCUUCUCCAAUAACAAACUCAAUGUGACAGGCAUCCGAGCCUAGGACUUCUCUGGAUAUUUGCAAUUCUUUGUGAUCACGAAGGAUGCAAAUGACACGACCGCCAGUUUGGAGAGCUGCAGCCACUAGGGCUAGCAUGGUGGAAAUGGCAGAACCGGCACAUGCCACAACCAUUAGUUGUGCAUUAUUGCCUGCUGCUAAUGCUGAGAUGAACUCAGCUGCAUCUGGCUCUUUUGCCUUUUUGUCGUCGUUAAGCUCUCCUCAUCAACUCUUCUCACAAAUCUCUAAACUUGGACAUUUUGUUCGUUGUUUUGAGACCCUGGUGUUGUUUUUUGGAAGCCUAUGCUUAUGUGUGGUGAUAGUCUUUGAAAAUUUGCUAUGUUUCAUCUUGAUCGCAGGGCUUUGUACUCUUCUAGAUGGUGAAAGAAACUAGGUCACUGCCAAUCCUCUCGUGGCUUCUCUAUGUUAGCACUAGGUUUGUGAUCUGUUGGGUUGCUAUGCCUAAGCUUUAGUGAGGCUUUAUGUUUUUUGAGCCUAUUCUUUUGUGUUUUAGUUUUUAGAUUGAGCUUUGUAUUUGAGCUUUCUGUUAAAGGAUGGAUCUUGU
Molecule: unclassified non-coding RNA, 1151 nt
Filed under: Hevea brasiliensis (rubber tree)
Lineage: Eukaryota; Viridiplantae; Streptophyta; Magnoliopsida; Malpighiales; Euphorbiaceae
Source: RNAcentral